UAUCUCUCCGUACGGGGAAGGAUGAGAAGCUUCGACUAAGGUUCGAUUCGAGCGCAGCGAGAAAGCGUUGCCGUAGGCAACGACCCGAAGGGCGAAGCGCGCAGCGCUGAGUAAUCCUUCCCCCGUAAUCC
RNAcentral lists this small RNA (131 nucleotides) under Salmonella enterica. RNAcentral describes it as "RtT sRNA". It matches the Rfam family "RtT RNA". From Rfam's summary of the family: This family represents a bacterial cis-regulatory element known as RtT RNA. Lineage: Bacteria; Pseudomonadati; Pseudomonadota; Gammaproteobacteria; Enterobacterales; Enterobacteriaceae. The record is from RNAcentral.